AAACCGGAAUAGCUAGUAAUCGCGGAUCAGCAUGCCGCGGUGAAUACGUUGCCGGGCUUUGUACACACCGCACGUCACACCACGAGAGUUUGUAACACCCGAAGUCGGUGAGGUAACCUUCAUGGAGCCAGCCGCCUAAAGGGUGGAACCAGGAAUUUUUGU
This 162-nucleotide ribosomal RNA is filed under the name Peribacillus frigoritolerans. RNAcentral describes it as "partial 16S ribosomal RNA". It matches the Rfam family "Bacterial small subunit ribosomal RNA", at positions 1323 to 1481 of the family's 1533-position model. The record is from RNAcentral. Lineage: Bacteria; Bacillati; Bacillota; Bacilli; Caryophanales; Bacillaceae.